AUUCUGCUAAUUAACACUGUUAAAGAAAACUAAUGAUGGACUUUCAAGAAUGGGAAACACAGAAGCAAGCUGGAUGCAACCAAAUGUAAAGCGAAACACAUCCUGACAGUGGUAUUCCACAGAGGGGCGCGCAGAUGUGCACAGGAAGGAAGAGAUAGGAAGCCCAGGAACACACUUGAUGGAUGUCACAGUCGGGAGAAAGGAAGAAACAACAUGUAGAGGCGCGGAGAGCCCGGGCUAUUUUUGUGUCGUCAAGCGGAAAUGGGAUGCGGCCCAAGGAGGAUGCAGAUAGGCCUCAGAGUGUUGCGUAGCAACCCCUCAGGAAAGAAGCUACUGUGCGAGUUUGAGAACAUCUGUCGAGCUACCAGCCACAAUCGAUUCCAGACCGCGGGACCCAUUCACAAACCAGAACAGUGCCUUAGCAGGAUGAGACACCAAGCAGCCCCUUUUGUAAGGUUUUAAAUCAGGUUUUUAUGUGAUGCCUUCAUGUUGUAACGGUUAUGGUGAAGCCGAAAGCAAUUCUCCUCUUGUGGGAAAUAUUUUUAUACUGUAGAUGGAAAAAAGCUUCCUUAUGUUUUAAUUUAGUAAUCAUCUGUUUCCCCAUUUAGAAAUACAUGUCAAAAUGAAUAUUCAAUGUAGGUGGCUGGUAUUAUGUGUUUUAUUUUAUUUGUUUUACUCAGGAAAUGUAAAUUUGAAGCACACAGGGAAAAUACUUUGGUUUUGAAUGUUCUGUGUGGUCUUACCUUAAUAUGUCUUGGUUAAAAUCACAUCUGGAUGGUGGUGGGUUGUAUGGCUAGGAACACAAAUAUAUUUUUCAAAUAGUUUUUUCUACAUAAAAACACAAUAAUCUGUUCUAAUUUAGCAUAAACUGCAACACAAAUACAUUAUUUUCAAACAUCCAAGACCAUUAAUAAUACUAUUUAGAGAGAAUGGAAACUCCACUCUGAGUCUUCCUUCCCCAACUCAAGUGUAGGUGGUGGGGGACCAUAGAGGUUUACUGGGCUUGCUUCCCAGAAUACGCUUGUUCAACAUAUUUCUCUUCAUACAAUGCUCCCAUACCUCCCACGUUCUGAGUCCUUUUAUCAUUGGACAGCAUACAAUUAAACAUAUGACAUCAUAUGCUUUAACUGCUUAAAGUACAGACACUGCUCAGCCAGUCUUUAAUCUCAUUCCCCAUCACAGAAUGUUAAAAUCACAGCAAAAUGCUGCCAUAGCCUUAUUCAUUCACAUAAAAUGGCUGGGCCAAUUUCUAUACUUGGAAGUUUUGGGAAGUAACUCGUGUUAAAAAAACAACCUUGUAAAAAUGAUAACAUUUUCAGAGGAUUUAUAUAAAAGGGCUUUAUGAAAUGUUUUUUUCUU
Anguilla anguilla (European eel) is the source of this 1359-nucleotide long non-coding RNA. RefSeq lists it as uncharacterized. The record is from RefSeq and is a predicted model, not a curated record. The transcript is spliced from 4 exons. NCBI's taxonomy places the organism in Eukaryota, Metazoa, Chordata, Actinopteri, Anguilliformes, Anguillidae.